AUUCAUUGGGUUUAAAGGGUGCGUAGGCGGAAUGAUAAGUCAGUGGUGAAAUCCUACAGCUUAACUGUAGAACUGCCAUUGAUACUAUCGUUCUUGAGUACAUUUGAAGUGGGCGGAAUGUGUCAUGUAGCGGUGAAAUGCUUAGAUAUGACACAGAACACCGAUCGCGAAGGCAGCUCACUAAGUUGUAACUGACGCUCAGGCACGAAAGCGUGGGGAUCAAACAGGAUUAGAUACCCUGGUAGUCCACGCCGUAAACGAUGAUUACUCGAUGUUGGCGAUACACUGUCAGCGUCUAAGCGAAAGCAUUAAGUAAUCCACCUGGGGAGUACGGCCGCAAGGUUGAAACUCAAAGGAAUUGACGGGGGCCCGCACAAGCGGAGGAGCAUGUGGUUUAAUUCGAUGAUACGCGAGGAACCUUACCUGGGCUAGAACGCAAGAUGGCAGUCCGAGAAAUCGGAUCUUCCUUAGGGACAUUUUGCGAGGUGCUGCAUGGUUGUCGUCAGCUCGUGCCGUGAGGUGUCGGGUUAAGUCCCAUAACGAGCGCAACCCCUAUCAUUAGUUGCCAUCAGGUCAUGCUGGGGACUCUAGUGAAACUGCCUACGCAAGUGGUGAGGAAGGUGGGGAUGACGUCAAAUCAGCACGGCCCUUACGUCCAGGGCUACACACGUGCUACAAUGGCCGGUACAGAGGGUCGCUACCUGGUGACAGGAUGCCAAUCUCAAAAACCGGUCUCAGUUCGGAUCGAAGUCUGCAACUCGACUUCGUGAAGUUGGAUUCGCUAGUAAUCGUAUAUCAGCAAUGAUACGGUGAAUACGUUCCCGGGCCUUGUACACACCGCCCGUCAAGCCAUGGGAGCUGGGGGUACCUAAAGUUCGUGACCGCAAGGAGCGACCUAGGGUAAAACCAGUGACUGGGGCU
RNAcentral lists this ribosomal RNA (921 nucleotides) under uncultured Bacteroidota bacterium. Its description in RNAcentral is "bacterial SSU rRNA". It matches the Rfam family "Bacterial small subunit ribosomal RNA", at positions 549 to 1482 of the family's 1533-position model. Lineage: Bacteria; Pseudomonadati; Bacteroidota. The record is from RNAcentral.